AUUGAACGCUGGCGGCAUGCCUUACACAUGCAAGUCGAACGGUAACAGGUCUUCGGAUGCUGACGAGUGGCGAACGGGAGCGUAAUACAUCGGAACGUGCCCGAUCGUGGGGGAUAACGAGGCGAAAGCUUUGCUAAUACCGCAUACGAUCUACGGAUGAAAGCGGGGGAUCUUCGGAUCUCGCGCGGUCGGAGGGGCCGAUGUCAGCUUAGGUAGUAUGUGGGAUAAAUGCAUACCAAGCCGACGAUCUGUAGCUGGUCUGAGAGGAUGAUCAGUCACACUGGGACUUAGACACGCCCCAGACUCCUACGUGAAGCAGCAGAGGGCAAUUUUGGACAAUGGGCGAAAGCCUGGUCCAGCGAUGCCGCGUGCAGGAUGAAGGCCUUCGGGUUGUAAUCUGCUUUUUUACGGUACGAAAAGCCUCUUUCAAGUAAAGAGUGUUCGUGACGGUACCGUAAGAAUAAGCACCGGCUAACUACGUG
RNAcentral lists this ribosomal RNA (482 nucleotides) under uncultured bacterium. RNAcentral's name for it is "partial 16S ribosomal RNA". It matches the Rfam family "Bacterial small subunit ribosomal RNA", at positions 30 to 507 of the family's 1533-position model. The record is from RNAcentral.